Molecule: long non-coding RNA, 1022 nt
Organism: Nymphaea colorata (pocket water lily)
Lineage: Eukaryota; Viridiplantae; Streptophyta; Magnoliopsida; Nymphaeales; Nymphaeaceae
Exons: 4
Source: RefSeq, a predicted model, not a curated record
UGGUGGAGGGGGCAGAAAGAAAAAAGAAAGAGGCGUCUUAUGCUCAUAGAGCCGGCGGGUCUAGCCCUGACGUCUACACGGAGGAGAAGAUUGUCGCCAGUGAGAUGGUCGAUGUUUCUGAGGGAGAAGAGGCCACCCGGCAACCCAAGAGGGUGGCCAAGAUCCAUAAUCACGGAAAGGACAGUUCCGUCUUUUCCUUAUUUCUCGCUCUCUUUAUGUUCUGGAGGUGCUCCAUCACUAGGCAUUUGUUUUUUCCGGGAAUUCUGGCGAGCCACGGAUGCUUAUUUAUCAGGAUUUUACUUGCUCUGCAAUUUUUUCAUUUUGUUUAUGUCUGGUACAACUUCUGGACUUGUUGGUCUUUGAGGUACUUGUUCAUCAUUCUUGGUUUUCCUGUGUUCACGUGAUGAAGCCGCUCUUCCCUUCCCCCUUCUCUCUUUCAAAGGUGAACCAACGUGCUAUGAACAAGCGCAAUCGUGAAUCUAUUUCCCCACCAUUGCCGGAAUCGAAGAAAUGCAAUGGCUCCAAUGGAAGUAGAUUGACACCCAUGGGAUAUUCAAAUGGCAUAAAGAAAUCUAGACAGAGCCUGAAGCAGGCCAAUGCAAUGGACAGAUCCCCAAGGACAACAGUCCCCAUACCCCGGUAACAAAAACUGAAGAAGAAGUGGCAGAAGCUUCGUAUCACUUGUCAAGAAUGUUCACUGGUAGUCCUGUUAGAAGCAAAACUGCAGAGACAGAAAUUGAAGAAACAAAACCAUUGCCUUCGCCAGAGGAGAGACCUAAUAGAUUGCCUCUUGAUUCUGCUGCUGAAGAUGCUAAGAAGAGGGAACAGGAGAUGGUUGAUGCGUCUACUGAUGAUGUAUUGAGAAAUCCUGUUGACGUUAAAACUUCUGCAGAUCCUACUACCAUUAUAGCCCAACCUCGUGCUGCUAUCCCUCUCCCUGAAAAGCUUGAUCUAGAGUCCCAUGUUCAGUUGGAUCUUGAUCUAGAGUCCCAUGUUCAGCUGGAUCCACAUAACAAUACUCA